This is a non-coding RNA of Salvelinus sp. IW2-2015, 141 nucleotides long. The record is from RefSeq and is a predicted model, not a curated record. Lineage: Eukaryota; Metazoa; Chordata; Actinopteri; Salmoniformes; Salmonidae.
UGUUAACAGUGGAAAAGCUCCCAAUGACAGUGAUGUUGGCAUAUUUGAACCAAGCACAUACCCACCACUAGUAAAGGAUCCUACAAGGAAAAUCUAAUGGUGGAUUCAUCCUUUAGAAGCUGAUGGUGAGACGUUUAAUGU